This 86-nucleotide transfer RNA is filed under the name Candidatus Woesebacteria bacterium RBG_16_39_8b. RNAcentral's name for it is "tRNA-Ser". It matches the Rfam family "tRNA". From Rfam's summary of the family: Transfer RNA (tRNA) molecules are approximately 80 nucleotides in length. Their secondary structure includes four short double-helical elements and three loops (D, anti-codon, and T loops). The record is from RNAcentral. Lineage: Bacteria; Candidatus Woeseibacteriota.
GCCGGAAUGGCGGAAUUGGUAGACGCACUUGGUCGGAAACCUUGUUCUGAUUUAUCAGAGUAGGAGUUCGAAUCUCCUUUCCGGCA